This is a long non-coding RNA of Cornus florida, 938 nucleotides long. RefSeq lists it as uncharacterized. Lineage: Eukaryota; Viridiplantae; Streptophyta; Magnoliopsida; Cornales; Cornaceae. The record is from RefSeq and is a predicted model, not a curated record. The transcript has 3 exons.
UAUACUAACACAUAAACGCUCUAAUUUCUCUGCCUCCAUUCUACUCCCUCACUGACCCACGACUUCACGACUUGGUGGUGCCCUUGGUGUGGCGCAGGGAGGAUCACGGCGGCGGUGGUCGAUUGGUGGCAUAUUGAAGAUCUGAACAGUGGUGGUUGUUGAGUGGGGCUACUGUAACUUUUAGGGGAGAAGAAAGAAGGGGUCGUGUUCGGAUGUAUGGCUUAGGACCUAUAUCGACUAGUCUUUAGAGGCCAUUUCCUAGUAAAGCGGAGCUAAUAAGGAGGACCUCACAAGUUGAGGAGGAGACUUGUGUUGCUUGUACAGAAAUGAAGGAGAUGGUGGAGAAGAAGCGUGCUGAAUACGAUGAAAAAUAUGAAGCUUUGAAUGCAAAAAUGACUAUAAUUUUACGUCAUAUGGAACAUUAAAAUUCUAAUGUACAGGUACCUGGUUCCUCAAGUACACUUGGUGAUUAAAUUUAUUUUUGGUCAUGAAACUUCAUCCACGGUAAGCACAAUAGAUUUUAAUUAUCAUGUUAUUUUAACCAUACAUGGUAAUUGUCUCAAUUAUUUUUCCUUUGCUUGAUGGCUUUUAUUCAAAAUGUAUGUAGAGCAAUUUGUAGCAAGACGAGAGAUGAAAUUGAAGCAUUAAUUGUCAAGACACUCACAUAGCCUUACUCUAUUUCUCAAUGAAAUGUUGAUUUUUUACUUUGAAUGAUUUCCUUUUGAAGCUUUAGUAGAUUUGGUGUUUCCUUUUGAAGCAUUAUUAGCGCUUAACAUUUUGAAACAAAACUUAUAUGUUAUGGGAUGUUAUUGAAUUUUAAUACAACUUUUUUCUAUGUUACAUCUCAAAUUUAAGUUGUUGGAUGUGUUGUGAUUGGUAAAUUAUCUUUGAUUUCAUUGAACAUGGAACAAAAUAAAAUAUUUGCUAACAUGUAAACU